UCGCCUAUUCUUAUCUCCUCGGCGGAGCAGUUCUCCGGCUGGUAGGUGAACUCCGGAGGAGCUGAGAAGGGGUUGCAGACGUUCACUAGGCCUGGAAAGGCGGACGAAGACCGCACCUCUGAUAUAUUUUUAUUGAUCUGGUCUAUGAGAUCACUGAUUCCUGCUCUGGUGUCCCGCAGGGCCCACCUCGCCGUGAGCUUGUCGUCGCAGGGGAGGAUGGUGGCCAGGCUGCUGUUGCGGGGAUCCCUCUGGAAUUCUUCGAGGGCGGCGCACGUGUCCCCGGCGAACCUGAGGCCAGAAGGGUUCAUCAUCUCCGGCCCCGCAAUGGUCUAUCAAAUCAACCCCGAAUUGUAACCACGCCCACUGGUGGCUCACCUGUCGACGAAGAAGUAGAGCCCAGAGUUCGCCCAGCAGAGGGAGAUCACCACCCAGGUGAGGCACAGAAUCCUGCGGGCGGCGAUGAGGACGACUCCAGAUUAGUGACAAAGAUGGUAUAUUUUUGCAGUAACAGUGAUCGAAGCACGCUUGAGUUUUGCUACUUACAGGACGAAAGGUCGCCGGAGCUUGAGGAAUCCCGACCCUGAACCAGAUGCGGAAGACGGAGAUAUCGGAUGUUAGUCAGUUAGGUGGUGGGUGGGACCCCAAGAUCUGAGAAAAAUGGAUUCUUUCACUUACCCAGCAGACCGAGAGCCAAGACCAGAUCGAGAGAAACAAUGGCGAUGGUGGUCGCAUGCCUGAGAAGGAAGGAGAACAACCCGCCCAGUUCAGCUUCACAGGAAUGCCGAAGACAGGGAUGCCGAAGAACUUACAAUAUCUGGAGGCCUUUGCCGAUCAUCCGCACGUUCUUCUCCGCUUUCCUCUGCAGCCCCGAGGCGUCGCCGUCCAGCCUGUCCGACGCGGCGGCGAGGGCCGCCGACACGUGGAGGCCGCUGGAGAGCUCCCCGCCUUCCCGGAUCGCCUUCACCGACCUUGUCACGUUGAAGAUGGUCUCAGAGGCCCCCCUCGC
Molecule: long non-coding RNA, 1006 nt
Filed under: Spirodela polyrhiza (greater duckweed)
Lineage: Eukaryota; Viridiplantae; Streptophyta; Magnoliopsida; Alismatales; Araceae
Description: long non-coding RNA (SPOL_LNC000174)
Source: RNAcentral